CUCUUUGCCAGUUCCUGUUUGCUGUUUGCAGCCGCCAUGAAAGGCAGCCCAGCCAUGCCCGCCUGUCUUGGAGCCAACUGAAUGUGGACUGAAACCUCCAAAAACUUCUCUGAAACCCGGCCCUCAGCACAUCUGAAGUUGGAGCUUGGAGAUAAUUUCCUGCUGCUGACCUGGACCCUGCUCAGCACUCUCUUGGAGAGGAAUGAUGGAGCAAAAAUGAUUUAGAAUUAACUGAAGACACACAGGACUGAAAGUCAAUCAGCAGUAUCUUCUGUCCCUGUUCGGAGGAAUCUCACCACAUAUCAAGGAGUCUUUCCUGGUGGCUCCAUAUUUUAAGACAGCAGGGUGUACACAUCGCUUUCCAUACAGAGUCUGACAAGGAAGAGAAGGAAAGGCUUCAGGCAAAGCCCACCGGACAACCAUGCAGGAACUGUGUCUCCUGGCUUGGUUGAGCCGCAGCACGACUGCAGCCCAGGCUGACCACUUUGUGACCAAGCUGGAGUCACACAGUCAGUAAAGUCACCCAGGAUUCCCAGCCCUCUGCAAGUGCGUAAGAUGUUGUUGUUUAUCAACUGCUGAAUUUUUAAGUAAUUGGUUAUACAGCAAUGAUAUGUAACAUACCUACAGCCAGAAAAGGUAGCUCUUAUGUCCUCUCAUCCACGUCGGAAGGAAUAUUCUUUUCUAAGUCAUUGUUCUGCUGAGAUCACGAGCAUUAUCAAUUGUCAGCACAUGUGUUUGUCUGUCUCGGCUGUGCUUCAUCGCGCCAUCACUGCCAGUACCUAAGGGUCAGGAUACCUCUAGUUUUUCUUUAAUAUUAAAUGUGAUGGGUUAAGUUCUCCAACUUCAUUCCUUUCCAGAGUCCUUUUGACUAUAAUUAGUUCCUUAGCAGUUCUUCUGUAGUUUACAGUUAGCCUGCCUUUUUUGCAAAAUGAAUUUUUAUUGAUUAUAUACAGUCAAUAGAUCAGUUGGGAAAGAAUUAGUAUCUUUAGCAAUGUUGAGAUUUUCCUCAUUUGCUGAGAUAUUUUUUAAUUUCAGCAUUGCUUUGUACUUUUAGUGAGAGAUCUUAUACAUUUUUGUUAGAUUUCCUCUUGGGUGGGUGUGGUUAUAUAACAUACCCCUCAGUGAGUUCUUUAUCUUUGCUGCAAUUACAUACUAUACCACUCACUGUUUCUCUAUAUCUUGUAUUUUCCAGUAUUAUUUAAAAGAAACAUUUUGAAAGAAAUUUAUAAUUUCCUAGUCAUAAGAUAUUAUUAGUGAAAUAUAAACCUAUUUUAAUAAAUAAAACAGAAGUCAUAAAAUGAAACCGUACUACAUAAUCUUGACAAACUCGCUUCUUAAAAUUCCAUCUAUUAGCCUAUUUUAGAGGUCUAUUUUUAUUGUUUGUAAUAUUAUUAAUAAAACCCAGCAAUUCCAUUUCCCUUUGAAAUGCUGAGAUCUAAUAAUGAACUAUUGUUUUACUUAUUCUUUAUGUAUAAAUUCUUUGUCGAUCUGGCACUGUUGUCACCAAGUCAGUAAGACGUAGUGAGAGGUUACAGCACCCAUCUUUCUAGUAGGUAAAUGGUAAAAGACACAAAAUAAUGAGUCCAGGCUGGAAUCAGGGAGUGAUACAGUGGCAAAUCCAUGUAAACCAAUAACCACCACUCGACAGAUGGCAGCUAAUUGAGAGUAAUGCAGAGCAGUGCUAAAAGUUGGAAAGUCAGCUGUGUCCGCAGCAGCACACAAGGAAAACAACCAGUCUCACGUUACUGGGAUCUGGGAUCAAAAUCAAUGUUGGACUUCAGCGUGUAAAAGUUCAGUCGUGUUCUAUGUGAAGGGCACCAGAGUGAAGAUCGUUCAGUGGUAUGACCCUUUCACCUUUGUGCUGUCCUUCUUAUGCACACGCUCACAGGAUCUCACAGGAUCUGCUUCCUGAAUACUCAUGCAAAGUUUCACCUAGAGGGAAAGUAGAUCGCAUGGAUCCCAAGCAAAAGUGUAUUUUCAUGAAAAUCCUAAAUGCCUAGGUCUGGUUACAACAUGAGGGGGACAUAGAUAUUCAUUUUACAAAAAAGGGAAUAUGAGAUACUAAAAAGUAGUCAAUCAAAGAAUCCAUAUAAUUAUAUAUUUUAAUAACCACUGUCCUCUCUGGUAUAUUCUUAGUUACUGGUGGUUUAGGUGAAGUCACUAUCAUUUCGUUAUCAGAAGCACUAUUGACAUGAGUAUCAGGAUUCUCACAGGUCGCACUCCACCUGCAACAUCUCACGGGGAAGACGCUGCCACACCAUGCCCACAGCUCUCUCAGCCCCACAUCUCUGUGGUUCUGUUCCCCCAACUUGCCCUUCCCCCUCUGAUUUCCUGGCACCAUCGUUGUGGGACCCCCCAGUGGACCAAACUACAGAGGCAGUGUUCACCUGCUCUCUUUCAGCGUUCAUGGUUCUGUGACUACUUUCCCUAAAUAAAUAAAUGAUUUUUAUUAUUGAUUAUGAAUAAAUAAAUAAAUGAUUUUCUUCAUGCUCUUUAAAACUGUCUUCUUUGGAUGUUUGCCCCAGAACAGAUUAAGAAAAAUCAUAGAUGUAUCUUUAAAUUUCAGAUAGUCUGAAAUAAAUGGCCAAAGAUAUAUAAAAUAUAUUUUUGUUAACAAAUUGAUACACUUAAUUGGUUUUACUCUUUGAUUUGAAAAAUCCAUUUUUGUCCAUUUUAGCUGCUCCAUCUAACUUAAUUUCACACUUUAUUGCCUUCCUUAUUU
Molecule: long non-coding RNA, 2722 nt
Organism: Cavia porcellus (domestic guinea pig)
Lineage: Eukaryota; Metazoa; Chordata; Mammalia; Rodentia; Caviidae
Exons: 4
Source: RefSeq, a predicted model, not a curated record